CAGAGUACCGUUUCAGUGGCUUCAUAAUCUUGCGUAUGAAGCAUCGUAACGAGCCGAGAAAUGAUCCCUCUUUCUACUAACUUAUGUCUUAGUUUGGUUGCAAGUUUACCAAGUUCUCUGGUAGCUAAAAUCUGAGCUUCCCGUUCAUUAGAUAGAAGGGCUUCCACUAUCACGUCUUCCAUGAUUGAAAGCCCUCUAUCCCCCUCAGUCACUUCUCAACUCUCUUUAUGUGAAAAUGAAAAUAUAGAAAUGUAGUAUUUGAUUGCUUCAAGGUGGUGUAAGGUUUGGCUUUUGGGAAAAAAAUUUUGGGGUUGCAGAAAGGCAGAGGGAAGAAGGAGAAGAAUGUUUUUUCGUCCGUUGGAACAAUUUUGUUCCGUUAAAAAAUAGCUCCAUUUGGUUUAACUCAUUUUUUGUUGGGUUUACAGUUGGGUCUAACGUCAAUUUUCUUCAUUUCCCGUCAAUUGUCCUUAAUUGGCCAAAAUUACGUAACUUUGAGGAUGAAAUGUGUUUUGAGUGAAACUUUGAGGAUGAAAUUGAUCAACAGGCCAAACUUCGAGGAUGAAAAGUGCAUUUUUCCCUAAAACAAAUCAAGGGUCUCUCUAGUUGAAUUUUUAUUCAAUUAUGUAAAUAACACAAAAUUUGAUGUAGAAUGGUACAAUUUUGAUAGGAAUAUGAAUAUUAUUAACUCGUACAAUUAAUUCACCAUUACGUCAAAGUUAUAUGAGUUUAAGCUGAAAGUUGUAAGGAUUACAAUAAUUAGACUGUAAUGAACAGAAUCAACUAGAGAGGCCACUAAUCCCUUUAAAACGUGUUAAAAUUUCUUGUGGAAUUAUUAGAACUAGAAGCAAAGUAGUGUAGCCCUCUAAGAGAUAUUACUAAUUCUUUUGUCUCAUAAAAGUUUUAGAGUCUAGAGAUUUCCACUAUACCAUUAUUAAAACAAGAGGAAAACAAGGCCAACCUACUAAAGAUAUUUACACUAUUUAAAAGUGUGUAAUAAAUAGUCUUUCAUGCUAGAUUGAAUUGGACAAAAUUCAACUUGUAGACCUUAAUCUGGUAAUUAUCUGCUCAUGAACAUGAAUAAUCAGUGGGAUAAUUUCAAAAACCUCCCUUGGGGUUUCUGACAAUCUCACUGUCCUCUCCUGAGGUUUCUAGAAUAUCAGAAACCCCUUAUAAGGUCACUGGUGUCCAAUUGCUACAUCAAUCAUGGAGAAAUAACUUAAUUACUCAUACAACUUUAGAGGUAUUUCACAAUUGCAGACACCAAAAUUUUACCAAGAAAAAAAAAAUUUACCAUUUUAUUUUUAUAUAUUUUAUUUUACUUUAUUUUCUUCAUUUUUAUUACUAUUUAGUUGUUUUUGUUGUAAAUCUUACUUUAGUUUAUUUUGUUCAUUUUCUUAACAAAAUCAUUUUUUUCCAAUUCAUUUUUACAAAAAUUAGGCAGAAAAGAAAAUUAGAAAAAAAAGAAAAGAAAAAAAAUAACAAAAUCAGUUUUUUGUUAAAAAAAAAAGGGGGCAACCACAAGCACGCACGCUUCAUCUUCAUAAUACAAAACCAUGAACGAGUCAUGGCACCAGAAAAAUUGCAGCAGCCAUUUUGAUCCAUUUUCACUCAUUUUUCUUCCGUUUUUUCGCUCCAUUGGAUCACUCCAGUACCAAGCCACCUGGCUUUAAUCCAAACACCAAGAAAAUCCCAGGACAAAAGCCAUCUAAUGGCUCAAAAACCAUCAAGAAAAGUGCAGCUAAUCAGGAGGAAAUUCUUAAAUUAUUAUGAAAAAAAAAAAGUUUUUCUACAAGAGAGGGUAUUUGUGGGGGUGAUUUCUAAAAUCAGGUGGUUCGCAUUUGCUGAAUGCGAACUAGCUUAGCUCGCAUUCAGCAAAUGCGAGCUAACAAAAAGCCAAGUAGCAUUUUUUUUUUUAAGUCGACCUCGCAUUUCUCAAAUGCGAGGUCCUUUGUCUGUCGGUCAAAAACGAAACACAGCUCCUUCAACCUCAGUCCUCUCUUUGACUCAUUUAACCAGAAAAAUCCUAAGAAACCACAAAAUUGAGAAAUACAAAUUGAGGGGAAAUUGCAUCCCAAAUCCGUCAUUGGAAUCCUCGGAAGUAGCAACAUUCAUCAAGAGUGCAGCUGUUGGAGGGAAGGAGUCCAACUCUGGUCAUUUCGGAAGCUCUCGCCAGAAAGUUGAAUCCCCGAAAAGCUGCAAAACGAAGACCAGAAAAUGUUGAAGCUACAGCCAUCUUUCGGUGAAUAAGGUAAGCUUUCUGAUGUUAUUGUCCAAUGACGGAAGAAGAUGCUGAAAUGCCAGUGACGAAGAAGAUGAUAUUGUCCAGUGACGGAAUCUCGCAUAUGCAGUGCUGACCUCGCAUGUGUCAAACGUGGGGUUGCCUAACCUUUUGACAAGGUAACCUCGCAUUUGUCAAAUGCGAGGUCUGAAGCAAUUUUUUUUUUUUUAUUUUUGUAAAAUCAGAAAUUCAAUAAUAAAUCGCAUUUGCGAAAUGCGAACUUAGUGAGCUCGUAUUUUGCAAAUACAAACAUCACUUAGACAGAAUGCUACACUAAAAAAGCUCCAUUUGUAGAAAAAUUUUAAAUUUCAUAAUAAAUUUAGAAAUUUCUCAGCUAAUCUGCACCUUAGAUGCUAGGGUUGGGGUGAGUUUUGUGCCUAUAAAAAGGUUCCAAAAAAUGCAAGAAAGCGAUGGGGGAUAAAUAGGAGCCGAAAAAAGAAAAAAUACAGAGGAAAAGGAGAGAAAAUUGAGGGAGAAAGGGAAGAAAAAGUGCAGAAAAAUUUUUAGGAAGAACACGAGCCAGGGUUGACUAUUGGGGGUGUUUCGUGGUCAUAUUUCGGUCUAGCCUCUCUGGAGCAGAUGUUGCUUUCUGGGUAAUCUAGAAUGAUCAAGGAAUAAUAUUGGUGUGAAAAGUUUUGGAAAAAACCGCUGCAACAUCUUCAAAUUUGGGCUUGAACUUGCUGCCUUAGUCAUCUUUAAAAUUUCUGCAGCAAAGAUCUUAACUUUCAGAUUUCAGUUUUGAAUCUCACUCUCCUCGGAUUUCCCGUGUUUGUUUGGUAUCUUCUCAUCAAAGGUAACUCUUUUUGCUCACUUCCUUUCCGUAUAAGCUUAAAUCCUUCCCAAUCUGUCAAAAUGCUGGUUGCAUCUGGGCUUGUUUUGUUUUCUUUUGAUGUUCAUUUUAGCUUAGAUUUUUUAUAUAAUCUUGUGUUAAACGUAAUAAGAUUGAGUGUUGAGGGUAGAGUUGCGUAAUCUAUUUGUUUGGAUCCAAGAUCUUGGUGUUUGGUUGAGAUAUUGCUGGUGUUUCAUCGAAUGCGAAAGGAGAUUGCAGAAAGCUUCCUGAUUGCAGCAAAGCUUCGACCAGGCUACAUGAAAAUUUUGUGGAAAUUUCGUUUUGGUCCCUCAACCUUUGCUUAAUUCUGAUAUGGCCCAAAAUCUGAAAAAUCUCAAUCAAUUUUGCCCCUUUUAAAUUCUAAUCUUCUUUUGCAUGCUUUAUGUGACCUUUUAGGUAGAUUAAUCCUGGGAUUUAACACAUAAUUAAGGCUUAGCAUUUUUUUUUUUUGUAGAUUUAUUACUUGGUUGGGUUUUAGUAAAAUAGGUUAGGUUGGGUUAAAGUUUUUGUUGUGGGCUUUUGGUUAUAGAUUGGGGCUUUUUUUGAUUGGGUUUUGACUUGGGCUAGGAGGCCAAAGCCCAUACUUAUUCAGUUGGGUUUGAUUGGGUAAAACUAUGGCCUGGCCUGUGUAUUUUGCUUUGGACUUUAGCUGGGCUUGGGGAGGUUUCGGCCCAACCAAAACAAAAGAAAAUGAAAGUUGGCCCAAUGGCCCAAUUAUUUAAGUGAUCUGGUGACGAAAAAUGCAAGUCAGUCCCUAGACUUUUCAGUAAUUAUGAUGUGAGUCUAAAAACUUUAGGUUUCUUUCAAUUAGAUCCUUAAUUUAAUUGUAAAUAGGUCCCUAAACUUUAUUUUUCUUUCUUUCGCCCCUAAUUUUUAUAAUAAUUAUAAUUUGACCCCAAUAACUUUCUUAUUUGUUGUAAUUAGGUCCCUAGUAGUUUUGAUUUCUUAAAUAUAAUUUACUUUUCUUCUUUAAUUGUUAUUUAUACUUCAUUUAGGUGAUUUAAUUGGUAGAUUUCAUGAUUAUUUCUAUUUCUUUAUAAUUAAAUUAGUGUCUUGAUCAUUUUAUUGAUUUUGAAGCAUAAGUAGGGCAAAUUUCACCCCAUUCAACCACAAUUUCAAGGGAGGUAACUUCUUUUAUUAUUUGAAAUUCUUUUAUGUGCUCCAAUGUGUUUUAUGUGUAAUUGCAUGUUUUGAGUGUUUUUUUCUUUUAAUUAUUCAUUUUUAUUCAUUUUAAGUUUCAUUUAUUUUAUUUCAUUUUUGAUAAUUAUUUGAGAGGCAUUAAAAUGCCAAAUUGUAAUAGAUAGAUGAUCAGGACAUGUAUCUAGCUAGUCUAUGUAAUAGAUAGGUUUUAAUUUUUGCUAAAAAUGUAUUUAGUUAAAUAAAUGUAAUAGUUAGGUUAUUAUUUUUAGAAUUCUCCCUUUAGAUUGUAAUUAGGGCCUCGAAUGCAAUAGUUAGACUCUUAUUUGCGUUUAUUUGCUUAGGUGCUUGCAUGCUUGUGUGCUUAUGUGUUUAUUCGCUUUCAUUAGAGUUUUGCAUCUAAAAAUUAUGCCUAUGUAUUAUAUGUUUUAUGUGCAUUAUGUGUUUAAUUCCUUUUAUUAUGCUUUAUAUGAUUUUAUUUAGUUUUAAUAAAUGCAUGACGUCACCACAUUAGUCCAUCGUUAGUUGUAGCCUUUCUCCCUGAUUUCUCACUAGUCCAACGCUAGUGAAGACGUGUAGAAAUGGGUUAGUCCAACGUUAGACCCUUUAGGCCGUUUUCGCGCUAGAUUCACAUUCUUUGCGUGACAUUCAUCACAUCUCAUACAUGUUUUUCGUUUUUAGGGUCUUUUCUCAUCUUGCAUGAUAUUUCCUCUAUAUAUUACCUCUCUCAUCCCUAUGUGCAAAACAUGACAUUUAGAUUUGCAUCUCAUUUAGGAAAUUAGAAAUAGGUUAACUCAUUUGCUUGACUAUAUUAGAAAAGUCACCUUUUGAAUAUGGGAAAUGAACGAGUGUGGCUUCUUAGUCUUAGCACGCUCUCAUCCUCUCUAUAAAAAGGAAAAUUAAAGUCACGAAUCUUAGUCUCCCAUACCCGUUAUGUUGCAUUCCUCUCCUUUAGGUCAUGUAUAUUUAUAUAUUAUAAUUUUUCUUUUCUUUGAGUCUCAUUUUUGCAUAUUCGUGACCUUUUCUAAAAAUCAUUUAGGGCAUCAUAAUUAAUGUGAUUUGCACCAAUUAAACUUUGAAGAGAUAUUUCGACCCUUUCGAUAUUCAUUAGAUCUAGAUUUGCAUCCAUAUAGAAAUGUCCUAAUGUGAUAAGUUUUAUAGGUUAGAUUAAGAAAAAUUUUGACUAAAUCACGCAACUAACCCUGGCUAGGUUGAAAGGGUGCCUUAGAUCAAAUCUUUACCUUCCCUUUCUUCAACCGUGACUCUCGAACUUUUUUUCUUUUGUUUUUCAAAAACCUGGAGUAGUCUAAAAAGGGUUUUGUUUAUUUUUUAUUAAAAAACAUAUUUUAAGUGACUUGGUAUACCUAAACUCAAUACCAAGUGGCAACUCCUGUUUUUUUCUUAAAAACCCUUUUUAGACUAUUAUUUUGUACCAAAAUCGUCGCACUUUUUAAGUCCUAUUUUAUGCCCUUUUUCUUUUGUUUCUUCCCUAAAAUAAAAACUCAUUUUUCACUCAUCAUUUUCAAAUAAAAUUCAAAUUUUCUCGAUAACUUAUAAAUUUUAUUUUAUUUUUCAAAAAAAAUGGGGCGCGACAACAAUUAUGUUGACAUGAUUAGUUAUAUUGUUAUUAACUAGGUUUAAAAGAAACAAUGACAAUUUAUAAGUUUUUUAAAAUUUUUCUAGCAUGCCACUACAAAAUGGGGCCAAAUAUAGGCACAUUUCUAUAAUUGAUAAUUGAUGUGCGUGAGUAGAAGUAAUGAUUCAAACUUUAGAUGGUUUUGUGGAAUAAAAGAAAUAGAGCUUCUUUAAGCAUAUCUAAGGAUUUAGGAGACUUCAAGAGGAAAUUUGCUUUCAAAUUUUUUUCAAAAUUUUGGUGAUUGCGAAAAUCUCAAGGUCAACCUUUAAGAUUUUUCUACUCUUAAAUUUUGGAAAUUUUUAUUAUUUGAUUGCAGAUGUUAAAGUAGUUAUUGAUGAUCAUGCUUAAUAGUGACCUUCCAAGUGAAAAAAAAGUAUCUUGGAUCAAACCAAAAAAAGGAAAAUUUGACAUUAUGUAGUUUGUAUCAUGUUCUAUAUGAUUUGCUCCAUUUGAAGAUUGGUAUUGAAUUGUUGUGUUUUUUCUUUUUUUUAUCCUAAGUGUUACUUUUAUUAUCAUGGAAAAUGGAUGUUGGUGUUGUAUGAAAUAUAUGUUAAGAUUGUUGGUUUUAUGCUACUAAAUUGAAAAACCUUUUAAUGAUGACCAAUUUUUUUCUUGUUUGUGAUUAUUCAACAAAUAGUCUUUUUUAAACUAAAAUGUUGGCAAUAGUAGUGCUUACAUAUUUUGUUUUUCUUGUAGCAGAGUAUGCAAUUGAUUGUGUUAUAAUAGACAUAAUAGUAUGAUAUUACAAGUGCAACAUGUACAUAAGACUUUGAAUUGUUGUAAAGUUAGAAAGUUGAUAUUUUGUUUACGCUCUAUGAAUGCGGUAAUAGUUGCACAAAUUGAAGCCUUACUUUUGUAAGCAAUUUCACUUAUAUCCUCUCACAUUUGAUAAAGUUAAAAUAGGUAUCUAUUGUUCAUAGUAAAUUAACUACCUAAUGCAAAAACUUGAAGGUAAUUAUAGAAUCAAAUUAUUUUCUCUCUCCUAAUACCAAUUUUAUAUUGUUUUUGCAUUUGAAUUGGAUUGAUUUGUUAUCAACUAAUUAGUUUUAGGAGAGAUUUUCGAUAUUUUGAAAAUCUCAAUGGAGGACAGUGGGAUUGUCAAAAACCUCAGGAGAUGUUUUUGAAAUUAUCCCAUGACUAGUAGAGUUAAUAAUAGAAACCUCCUCGAAGGUUUCUUCUAAUCACACCUAGUACCCCCUCUCCCCCAUGUUUUUGAAAUCACACCUAGCACUCUUGGAAUGACAAUUUUGGUAUCAUUGUCAGCCUCUCUGUUUGAAAAAAAAGAGUAAUAAAAAAUAAAUUCUAGGAGAGGAAUUUAUUUUUGUUCCACUUUUACCCACAGGCCAAGAUGAUUAGUGAAUUUUAGGAGAUACAAAUACAAACAAAUAGGCAUAUGAUAUUAAUUCAGAAGGUGAGAAGGUAAAAGUGUAAUAAAAAAAGAAUGUUAUAACGACGGACUUCCAAAUGACCGUUGCUUCCAAUGGUUAAACUGAUGAUGCUUGAUCUCUAUAAAUUGCUUUCAAUGGAAGACACCACCAAUACGUAGCACUUAAAUGGGAAAUUUUGCAGCAAGUUGAUUGGAGAUUCAGUAAGGAAACAAACAGUUCUAAUUGGUACAUCGGCAGCUAUAUUUUUAUUCAAAUCAUAAAAAUCGAUUUGAUGAAGUAGAAGUAAUAUUUUCAGUGCUUCACACGUUUCCAAACUCAGUAAACAUUAUGUUAGUCAUAGAUAAUACAAACUUCGGCAGUGAUUAUUUGGGGUGCAUGUUGAAGUAUAAGAAAAUAAGUAGCGAUGUAGAUUCCAAGAGCUAAUAUACCCAAAAAAGUUAACAAUCCUACAUAUUUCAAUUUAGAAAUCUUACUACAAAAUUAAUACAACACACACAGAAAAAGGCAUGUUCAUGGAUGCAUCAGAGCAUUAUUUCUACCCUUAAAUGCACAAUAUUGGUGGUUUUUGGGUAAUUUCCGCCCUUUUGAUAGAGACAGCCUGUCACAUCCUACCGCCACGGGUGUUUGGUGUGAUUUUGAAAAUAUGAGGGGUGGGCCAGGUGUGAUUAGAAGAAGCCUCAGGUAGAUUUCCGAUAUUAACCCUAAACUAAACGACAUUCCAUGACCUAAAAAGUAAUCCAUAAUGGAUAUAAGGAUGGGGGGUAGAGAUUCACGUGCUUGUUGGCUGGCAUCAGUUGCGUCAAAAGUUGGAGCACUCCCCGGUUACCGACAGAGUUUUUGAUGGUUACGUCUACGGUGGAAAGUACACUUUUCUGUCCAAAGUAGGCAGAAGAAAUGUAAGGAGGCCAACUGUGCUCUGUGGGGACGCACGAAUAAGAAAUAUCCGGGCACCACUCAAGAAAAACCGGUUGUGCGUGGAUGAAAAAUGUACUCUUAAAAAUUUAUUCAACAUCUAAUGCCCAAUACUUAUAUUUGAUAAAUUAAAAUAGUUAAUUAAAUAUACUAUUAUAAUAUAAACAAUUAUAUAUCAUUUCUUUUUUUGGCAUUUCACCUAGUUGUCAAUUAAGUUUCAAUUGAAAUAAAGAUUUUAUAAUUAUUUAAAUUAUUCAAUAAAAUUAUCAAUUUAAGAUGAACAUAAAUAUAAAUACAUUAAAUUGUAUUAUUGAAAUAUUUGAUUUGAUAUGAAGGAAAGACAAAAGAAAUAGCAAUAAAUUUUUUAAAAAUUCGUGUGAGUCCUCCUUUACUUGUUAUUGCAAUCAUAGUGCCUAAUCAUAACCGAUUGAAACUCAUAUCCACAAGUUAAAUAACGAUUUGUGUUAUACUGUUUACAAUUAAAUUUACUAUACACUCAAAUUAAAACUCUCUUUUUUCCACUAAAUUUUCUUUUAUAUAUGAUUUAUGUAUUAUCAUUUGUUUGUAAUUAAUUUAACGAAAAGACUCUCUUUAGGCUAAAUGAUAUGUUUUGACAAUGUGGAUUACUUUUAAGGAUUUUAAUGAGAUUUAGAACACAUUUUUUAUGCAUAUAAUCUAAUUCACAUUUUAUUUCAUUUGAAGUAUAAUUAUUUAAAACAUAAGGGACCAUAUUGAUCAAAUUUUCAAAUAUUAGAGACCAAAAAUAUAAAGUCAAACUUUUGACUAAACCUAAAAAACUUGAUUUUGACCAUUAGAUAUUGUAGUUUUCUAUUAGUUGUCCUAAAUUUACCUAAAAUAAAAAAAUUUGAGAUCAUAUUUAUUUUGGCAAAAAUAUCAGGAACUAGUUUAAUUCAUAGACCAAACAUGAUAGGGUAUAAUUUGUUAGUAUUUUUAUUAUUAAUUUUCCCUUCUAUCCCUGACAAAUAUUGUGUUAAUUGCUGAUAUUUACUCAUAUUUGGUAUUUGGAAUCAAUUUCAGAAAUGAAGCAGAAAACUACCAAAAAGGAGGGACUUUGUGAAAAAUAUGGAGAUUUCUAAGGGCUUCAAUCCUUGGGCCCUUGAAUUGGUGGGGGACCACAAGCUAGUGAAAGGCAUUUGGUCAUUUGGGCUUCAAAGAAAGCAACGUAGAGAGACUUGGAACAAGAAGUACUUGGGAGGCUUUGUCCACAUGUGUGGGGACCACCUAGAUAACUUUUAGUCAUCUUUCUUUUGUUGCUUUAAAAGGGGACAACGUACAGAAGCAAAAGAUAUCUAGGGCUUUAGUUUUAGUUUUUUAGUUUAGUUCUAGUUUUCUUUCUUUGGACUGGCCUCUGACACACGCCAGGUAUUCGACAAUAUUCCCCAACGGGGAGAUUUUCUCAUGAGGCGUGGUUAAGCUUUUCUAGUCAAGGGGACAACUGACGAUUUGGUUCGACAAUUACUGUGAGAUCGAAUCUGUUUUAAUUAUUUUCUUCAUUUAUUGGUAUUUAUAUGUUCCUUGAUUUUAAUUGCUAUGGCCUUGUGUAUGAUUGAUUAGUGCGCAAUAAUUAAUUAUUCAUAUAGGCUAUUUUUGCUAAAUAGGGGUAAUUGAAUCCGUAAUUGUUCGUUAUCUCUACCUCAGUAGCAACUGGCGUAAUUGGGUUUAUGUCAGGGGAGCAUAUGGUCUAAUUUAAACAAACCCUCGUAGCGUGUUUGUUGGUUAGGAUUGGGCCUUCUAAUUAUUAAUGCAAUCUAGAAAUUAAAUCCUACGGUCGUACCUAGGGUUAUUUUUUGGUUAGAGAAAUAGCUAACGGUCGUACCUUAGCUAUCGAGAAAUUAAGGAAGGGUUGGUUGUUUAUCGCGUGCAUGACAACUAUAACUAAUCUAUUGCUAAAUGUUGGAAUUAUUUGUGCAUCAAUGAUCAGUGCAUGAACCAUUUCUGAUGUGUACUCUUGGCUAGAGUUUCCCCAAUCAUUUCUUUUAAUUAAUUAUUUUCUGCAGUUAAUUUAUUUAGUUAGCAUUUAAUCAAAAACCCCUCAUACUUUGGACUCUAGAAGAAACAAAUUAUCCCCAGUCCCUGUGGAUUCGACCCUACUCACCGCUAUAUACAAAAUCUGUAUUUUUCUCGAGUAGGUAUUUAUUAUUGUACAGGUUCGGCACCUGUCAAAACAUCAGGGACCAAAAUUGCUUAUCUUCCUUUAUUUUAAUCAUGUUUGAUAUCCCAACUCUUUCUUUUAUAUUUAUGCUUCAAUUAUUUCAAAUAUCAAACUCAAUUUAAAAAUAAAAACUAUUACAAUAUUUGUUUUGACAUAUACAAAAUUCACUAAAUAAUGUUAAAAAUUUCACUCAUUUUCCGUUAUACCAAUUUCGUCUACCUUUCCGUACCUUUGUUUUUCAUGUUUGUUUGACGUUCACUUUUUCAUUCUUCACUUUUCAUUGGGACCCACAUCUCGGUUGGAAAGUUCACAAAAUAUUUUCUAAGUAAUGAAUAUUAGAUGAUGAACAAAUUUUUACGACGACUUUUGUUGUAAUUUUAAAAUGUAUUGCAUUAUUUCAUACAAGCACAACCGGCUCCCUCCAAUGCCCAGUACAUUAAUUAUUUCUCUGUCGGUCUUUGUCCGUCCCCACAGAGCACGGUUGGCCUGCUUGCAUUGUUUCUGCGUCUAUGGGCAGAAAGGAGUAGACGUAACGUUAGGAAGUUGUCGUUGUCCGCCGGUUCAAUUUGGGUCGGCCUCCGACCAAAGUAGGCCCCAACUUGGCAUCUUGCACAGGGCGUCACCUGCUCAUGUACCCUUCUGUCGGCAGUCUGGCUCUUACCAUUAUUUAUGACUGUGACUUUUCUUUACCAUUUGCAUUUUCUGUGAUGCGAAUUUUUCUAUGAGAAUUAUCUCAUUGUUUUUACUUUCCUUUUUUUUCUCUAUUUGUUUUUUUGGAGAAUAAUGUAUUGGUAUGCAUUUUUAAAAUCUGAACCAUGAAAAUAUUCACAAGUCAUUCAUUUAUCGUGUUCUGCUUCUUUUUUAUAUGUUGGAACUUAGAGAUGGAAUAACUGAGAAUUGAGCUUGCGAGACACUAACAAAAGUUUGAACGUCUUUCAAGAUGAAGGGACACUUCCUUCAAAAAGAUAAAGUGACACUUAGCGAAUGAAUAAAUGACAAUUGGGUAUGCCAUGUACUAAGGAAAAGCCAAAUGUAUUUGAAGACAAAGUGGCCACUUUAUGAAAGUUAUUCACGAGUAAUAAAAUCGGAAGUUGUGAUAUGGGGAUAAGAUGGUUACGUCUACGGUGGAAUGUUCACUUCUCUGCUCAUAGUAGGCAGGAGCAAUGCGAAGAUAAGAUGGUUACGUCUACGGUGGAAAGUUAACUUUUCUGCCCAUAGUAGGCACGCACAAAGAAGGAUAUCCAGACACCACCGGUGAAAAUCGGCUGUGCGUGGAUGAAAAAUGUAAUACAUUUUAAAAUCAUAAUAAAAGUCUUCUUAAAAAUUUGUUCAUAAUCUAAUGUUCAGUACUUAUAUUUGAAAAAUUAAAAUAGUUAAUUAAAUAUUUUAUUAUAAUAUAAACAACUAUAUGCCAUUGAGUUGAUUAAAUAAUAUUUUCUUUUUUUUUUUUGACAUUUCAACUAAUUGUCAAUUAAGUUUCAAUUGAAAUAAAGAUUUUCAAGUCCAUAUCAUCUCAACCGUACCGACGUUGGAAUCCUCAACUUAAAGCUUUAAAAACUGAAUGCUUUUCUUUCAAUUUCCAUGUCUCAUGGUUUUAAUGAAAAAUUCAUCAUUCCAAGACUUCCCAUACAAUCAUACACAUGGUAUCUGACAAGGAUGUAGUGCAAUUGUAUUUUAUGCUAUUCUGUCCAGUUGUUGUGCGUGUUUAAAUUUUUCAUGUACAAAUAUAUGAAAAUAUUUUAUUGAAUAUAUAUUAAAUAUUUUAUUUUUAUACAUCACUUUUAUUACGAAUAUAACAAUGUAACAUAAUUAUACACCAACUAAUAUUAAAAGUACAAUACUCGGAUAGAACCCCAACCGCACUAAAUCCUUUCCCCGUAUCAGAAAACAAACCAUAGCACAAAAACCAACUAUAAACAAGCUUUUAUAUGUCUGACUUCUCUGGUUUUUUGGCAAGAGAAAUGAUAAGAUUAUUAUAGAAGCCUUUGCCCAAGCGGAUAACCUUUGCUGCAUUCGUCGCAAACCUGUGGAAUAUGUCAGGUAUAAUAGCUUCUCCAAAAUGAUUUGCGAGGAUGGGUUCGUAAACUGAUCUAAGUAAUGAUGCCACAUGCGCUGCUCUAGCAUGUUCAUCGCUGUAUUCUGGGGAAUGGGAUCUUACUUGGCAAUCAUCAUCAAUAGAGAAGCCAGCAUCAUAACGGAGCUUAAAAGUCUCCAAGUACAAAAUUUCAAAAGAACCUUCCUCCUCAACUAUGCACUUUAAUUCUUCUACUGAAGCUGCAUAGAUUGGAACAUUGAAACUGUCCAAUUUUUCUUCCUCCAGAUGUCCCUGUAUUCAUAUGCCAAUCAUCAAGUCAAUUCGAAUUACUGGACGUACAAGACUUGGAAAUCAGCCAAUUUGCUAAAACGUCAACUCUAGAAUAAAACGUGCAGCUUUUUUCCUUAAUUUCAAUAUGAAUAUAUGAUUAUUACUUGGGCUUUUAGUUCAUAUCAAAAAUUUGCCAAAAAAGAUUAAAUAAUGAACUAUUUCUUCCUUUCCAAUACCUGUUUAACCAAAAAGGGGGAAAAAAAAGAUAGCCGACAAAUUAAAUCCCCCUAUAUUUCCAACUUCCAACAAAUUAUUGGAAGGGAAAGAAUUAUCUUAACUGUAUUGGAGUUGUGACGCCUAACUCCUAAUUAAAGGUUGCUACCAUCGGAUUUACGGUGAACUUGGUCUACACAGAGUUUAUUCUAUCAAGGUUACAAGAAUAAAAUUGCGUCCAUUUUUCAGCUAAGGUAGGAACCCUGAAUAUGCUAGCUAGCCAUCUAGUUUAUUUCAGAUAACAAGCAAUGAGCAUCUGAUCAUCAAAGAGACAGAGAAAUGAUUAACCUCAACAACCAAGUCGUUUAUUGCCAUCUCAAGUAAGUCCAUGGUAUUCGGGCCGUCGAAUUCAUCUCCUUUGCAAAUGCAAGUAAGGAGCAUUCGGCCGCGUGAAAGCAACUCUUCCGAACGAAUCCUUAAAAAUGUGGUAAAAUCUUUCGUAAAUUGAUCCAAAUAUGCCUUCUGGACGGGCGGAGGACUUGCUUUGGAAGAGUAAAUGCUCCUUUUGUUCGCAGUGAUCCCCAAUUCAGUCACCAAACCGCUGGGAACCUGCAGUCUAAAGCUGGUUCCCUUUAGAAAUCUCUUUCUUGGAUUCCUGUGGAUAUCUUGAGAAUUAUUAAAGAAAUUUCCAUGCAUAGUUACUAAUGUGUUGAAUGAAAAUCAUGAACUAUUUUUGCUACAAGAAAAAGUAAAAAGAUAAAAGGGAGUAAUUCAAAGACCUGGGAUAAAAAUUGAAGACUGUAAGAAGAGUGUAAAAAAUGCAUUGACUCCUCGGGGAAGAGUCUGCCGUGGAAAGAGCCAGGCAUUGCGGCUAUUAGGCACGAUCCUAUCUUGCGUCCAUUUUCUUUCUCAAGUUUGCGGUAGAAACUUGGCAGCAACAUGAAAACCGAAUUGAAAUCAUUUUGGAAAAGAUCAGUCAGAAAAACCUGAAUGGUGGGACGUUCUAAUUCAUUCUUCAUUUCUUGCCUAACUUUGUCAAUACUUUGUACAAUGUCCCGAACUGUUAAAAGUGUGUUUGGUCCGGAAGCGCAUCCCAAAUCCGCAACUUUAAUGCACUUGUUGAUGUUGGGCAAGUUGGCCCGCAACAAUUCCCCUACGCAUUGUUCAAGGACAGGUUUCACCUUGGCGAGAACCAGUUGCUACACAUACCACUCCAAAAUACAAAUGUUAAGGGGCGAAAAAAGACAUACUAAGUUAGAGAUCGACGUAUCAUAGCAUGAUUUACUACUACUCUGUGUGUGUGUGUGUGUGUGUUAAAGAGAGAGAUAGAGAGACAGACAGACAUUGAAGGAUGAAUUCUUGGCGUAGCUUGCAUCGCCUUCGCCUCCAUUCAUAUGCAGGACUUCUUGGAGCUCCAUUCAUAUGCAGGACUUGUACAUAAAUCGAAUUGGGACUGCUAAAGAAGGUGUCUGUUAAUGAUUAAUUGUGCGAAAUUUCGGACUUAAAUGGCGAAAAUUUCUUAGAUGCGUAUGCGUAGAAAAAUCUGUCAAUUGGUCAAGAGAAAGAGCACAGCCAAUGGGAACCACACACAAUUGGGAUAAAAUGGGCCUAGGCCGGUGGAGAGUUGAUUGAGGGGAUAAUUUCAGAAACCUCCUAUAAGGUUUUUGACAAUUUCACUCAACUCCCCUAAGGUUUCAAUAAUUCAUAAACCUCCCUCAGUCCAAUCAAAUGACUAAAAUGUCCUCCACUUAAUAGUCAAUUCAUAAAGGGACAUUUAAAACCGAAAAAUACUUCUUAUUAUUCUACUAGUCAUUUUCUAGUUUAAAAAAGCAAUCUCCAUCAAUUUUCUAGUUUUCAUCUUUUCCUCCCUCCUUCCCUUCCUCUUUAAUAUUCUUCUCUCUUUUUCUCCUACAACCACUUCUCCCUCUCACCAAGUAUCGCGCUCCAUUUUUACCAACCAUACUAUUAUCAAUUUUUUACCAUCUCCAAAAUUUAUCUGUAUUUUUUGUCUUCCUAUCCUUUCUUACUAUAAAAAUUUUAGACCCUUUCUUUUUUUUUUCUCCAAUAGUUUUACUCUUUACAAAUAUUAGCCAAUUGACGUUACCAAAUCAACAAGGUGCAGACUAUAGAUUUUAUUGUCAAACUAGGGGAAGAUGAAAAAGGUGGCAGUGAUAUAGGGAAAAAAUGAAAUUGAGAUUUGGAACAUAAAAAAAUGACUAUUAUGUUUGUUAAGUAAAAAAUCUAGCAAUUACUCAUUGGUUCUCUCUUUUAUUUAUUUAUUGAUUGUGGUUUUACUAUAAAGAUAGAAUUUUAUUUUUAUUUCUUAUAGUGUUAGAGCAAUGAUGAAUUAUAUUCUUAGGGACGUGCGGACAUAAACCUUAAAAGUAAGGGAUGUAGGUGUAAUGUUUAAAACUUGAGGGGAGCUUUAUGUAAUUACUACAAACUUCAAGGGAGGUUUCUGAAAUUAUCCCUUGAUUGAGAGUGUACUUUUAAACGCGCAGAAAUUCUGGUAAGUGGGAAGAGAAUUUCAAGUUAGCCCGCGUAAAGGAGCGAAAAAUAAUAAUUAUUGGCGUGCAUUAAAUUCCUUAAUAGCAAGAAGUGUUGGUGGACUAAAGUGAACAUUAACGUUAAAAAAAAAAAUUGUCGACAGGUUAGUGGAGUGUAAUUGAAGGAGGGGUAUUGAUUUCCCAUCAACAACCCAAAAGAGGGCAAUUAAUGCAUUGUAUGAGGAUUUAGGACCUUAACGCAAAAAUCAUCUUCAAGUGCAAGAAAUGCUGCAGUAAAAAGAAUAAAUGAUUGUUAAAAAAGAAUAAGGUGGUGUUUGGUUUGAAUGUUGGAAUCGGAUUCGGAUUUGGAAUCAUUUAUCCUGAAUUUGGAAUGAAGUCCAUCAUUUCAAUACAUCUGUUUGGUUCAGUACCAAGAUUGCGUAUCAUUACUAUAGUUGAUAUUUGGUUCAUUGGCUCUUUCGAAAUGGGAUAUAAGAAAUUUUCACAAAUUAAAUAUAUUAGUAAAUUUAAUAUAACCAAUUAAUAAUUUUUAUUAGUAAAUAUGUGUAAUUAUUAAUAUAAUUGAAAAUAUCAAUUAUAUUACAUAUACUAAUAUACAUUAUAUAAUACAUAUAACUAAUAAUAUCAUUAUUAUAGGUUUGUAACUAAUUAAAUUAAAUAUUAUAUAUAAUUAAAUAUAAUUAUACAAAUAUUAUAAUAUAAUUAUAUAAUAUAAAAAAUUAAUAAUGUUGGUCGUAAAUAUAAUGAUGACAAUUUUUUUUCUUGUUUGUGAUUAUUCAACAAAUAGUGUUUUUUUAACUAAAAUGUUGGUUGUAGUAGGGCUUACAUGAUUUGUUUUGCUCGUAGCAGAGUAUGCAAUUGAUUGUGUUAUAAUAGACAUAAUAGUAUGAUAUUACAACUACAACAUGUACAUAAGACUUUGAGUUGUUGUAGAGUUAGAAAGUUGAUAUUUUAUUUACGUUCUAUGAAUGCAGUAAUAGUUACACAAAUUGAAGCCUUACUUUUGUAAGCAAUUUCACUUAUAUUCCCUCACAUUUGAUAAAGUUAAAAUAGGUAUAUAUUGUUCAUAGUAAAUUAACUACCUAACGCAAAAACUUGAGGGUAAUUAUAGAAUCAAAUUAUUUUCUCUCUUCUAAUAAUAAUUUUAUAUUGUUUUGCAUUUGAAUUGGACUGAUUUGUUAUUAACUAAUUAGUUUUAGGAGAGGUUUUGAGUUUUUUGUCAAAAUAACACUCUUUUUAGAAAAUAUUCCCAAUAUGAUUCACUUUCAAAUUUUAUUCCCAAAUCGAUGUUAUUGUUGCCACCUAAUUACCCUGAUUGCCAUGUAAGAUAACAAGAAAGGAAAGCUUUAAUCUAGUUUAUAGUUUCCAAUAAAAACUAAAAAUUUAAACUGUUUUAUUAUAGAGGCACAAGAAAAUUGCAUAACUUUGAUAAUUUCCUUAUAAUUAUUUAAAAUAAAAUUUACCAUUAUUGACCUUGCUAUUAUUGCUCUGUACAAUUUUUUUAAAUGUAUCAAACUUAUUGCAUAUAUAUUUUCAAAAAUUAAUUUGCAAAAUACAAAAAUUGCAAUGAACAUUAUAAGCAAUAACAAGAAAAAGUUACAAAAACUUCAAGGCUAUCAUAUUUUUUUAUGUUAUGCUUCCUACUCCUUGAAAAGAACUUUUACAAAAAGUAAUCAAACUAUUGCAAUUAAGAUAAUGCUAAAGUUUCUCAAAAGUAACACAAGCUAUUAAUUGAUGUUGAAUAAAUGUGCAAAAAUACUUCAAGUAUACGAGAUUAUUUGAUUAUGUGAUAGAGAGGCACUACAAAUGAACAUGCUUAUAUUGAGCACGAAUUUCUGUUGUUACGGAGUUUUCCUCUUAGACAUUUUAUCAAACACACUGUGUGAGAAAUCAUUUGUUAAAGCAAUUAGUAUUCAAAAUUUUUUGAAGGCCAUAUGAAUGUUCCAAAAACUGCACAAUAGAAAAUACAAGAGAAUAAUCUUCAUUUACCUUGAAAUUAUCAAUUCGAGGAGAAUAUUUUCAUCUACAUAUACAAUAUUAGGAAUGAUAAUGAAGUUUUAGAUGUUGUUAAUAUAAAUAUUGGCUUUUAACAAUUACAUUUGACAAGGAAAAAUAACGAAAGGACACAAAAUAAUAAAGGAAAAAAAAGUGGGAAGGUUCAGAGAGAGAAUCAGGGAAGAUAUUAGUUGGAAAAGAGAGAUAGAAUGUGCCUCUAUCUCUAUCCUACCACAGAUGCAACCUAUAUGGAAAAAAAAAAGGAAUUAUAAAGGUAAUAAAUUUUAAAAUUAGGUUACUUUGGGUAUAUGUUUCAAAAGAAGAGUUAUUUUGGCAAUAAACUCAGAGGUUUUUGAUGUUUUGAAAAUCUCAAAGAAGGACAGUGGGACUAUCAAAAACCUCAUGGGAUGUUUAUGAAAUUAUCCCAUAAUCAGUGAUGUGUUUUUUCUUUUUUGGGAUAAACUAAAGGGUUAAUAUUAGAAACCUCCCUUGAGGUUUUUUCCAAUCACACCUGGUACCCCCCAUGUUUUCGAAAUCACACCUAGCACUCCUGGAAUGACAAUUUUGGCACAUUGUCAGCCCCUCUAUUUGAAAAGAGUAAUAAAAAAUAAAUUCUAGGAGAGAGACUUUAUUUUUGUUCCACUUUUACCCACAGCCCAAGAUGAUUAGUGAAUUUUAGAAGAUAAAAAUAUAAACAAAUAGGCAUAUGAUAUUAAUUUAGAAGGUGAGAGGGUAAAAGUGUAAUAAAAAGAAUGUUAUAACUACGGACUUCCAGAUGACCGUUGCUUCCAAUGGUUAACUGACGAUGCUUGAUCUCUGUAAAUUGCUUUCAAUAGAAAACACCACCAAUAUGCAGCACUUAAAUGGGAAAUUUUGCAACAAGUUGAUUGGAGAUUCAGUAUAGAAACAAACAGUUCUAAUUGGUACAUCGGCAGCUAUAUUUUUAUUCAAAUCAUAAAAAUCGAUUAUUUUCAUGAAGUAGAAGUAAUAUUUUCAGUGCUUCACAUGUUUCCAAACUAAGUCAACAUUGUUAGUCAUGGAUAAUACAAACUUCAACAGUGAUUAUUUGGGGUGCACGUUGAAGUAUAAGGAAAUAAGUAGCAAUGUAGAUUCCAAGAGCUAAUAUACACCAGAAAAGUUAACAAUGCUACAUAUCCCAAUUUAGAAAUCUUUUAGUUCUUGCUUACUACAAGAUUAAUACAACACACACAGAAAAUGACAUUUUCAUGUAUACAUCAGAAUAUUUCUACCCUUAAAUGAACAAUAUUGGUGGUUUUGGGGUAAUUUCUCCCCGUUUGAUUGGGACAGUGAUAGGUCGAAAUUUGUUAUUAAAUUUAUAAUUAAUUUUCUCUUUAUUCUUGCCAAAUAUUGUUUUAAUUGUCGGAUUCUACUCAUGUUUGGCGUUUUGUGUUAAUUGCAGGGCAUUAGAGUAAAAAGUGCUAAAAGGGGGUGAUUUUCUUGGAAUUGAUUGUCAAACGCAAGUUUUUCAAUUCAAGAUGGAGUCUACAUGGAGUAUUGGUUGAAAAUUAGGAAACUGCCACUUUUUAUUAGAUGUUUUAUUAGGGAACAACUAGCACCAUUUUGAGGGUUUUCCUUUUUCAAUUAGAUUUGGAGUUUUAUUUAUUUUCCUUCGGUUGGUAGAGGCGGAGGGUUGGUACUUAAUAGAAAAUAGAACAAAGCCUCACGAAGGGGGACUUGGCCAUUCUCUAUCGUUUUCUUCCUUUCCUUUCGUUUAACUAUUGUAUGCUUAUGCGAUUGAAUUCAAUGUCGUGCAACUAAAUUUCCUUUUUCUAGCCGAGGAGUAACACAAAUUUGGUUCAUCUACGUCUGUGAGAUCUAAUCGUUUUUAUUGAUUUCUUUUAUUCACUAAUAUUUGUAUGUCUUCUAGUUUAAUUUCUCAUUAUUGUUAGUUGUUUGAAUAUCAAAGACGCCUGAUAUUUAAUUCAAUCUAGCGAACUAUUGUCAAUUAGGACAGUUAAAUCCAUAAUUAUUUAAUUGUCUUAAAUUAGUGACAACUAACGUAAUUGAGGUCACGUUAGAAAGAUAUACGAUCUAAUUUAAAUAAACCUUAAUAGUACGUUUAUUGAUUAGAUCAGAAUUUUUCUAGUUUUUAAUGCAAGUAAGAAAUUAAAUUCUAUGGGCGUACUUAGGGUAGUUUCUUUGUUAGAGAAGUAGUUAAUAGGCAUACUUUAACUAUCGAGACAUUAAGGAAAAGUUAGUUGUUUAUCGCGUGUAUGACAACUAUAACCUGUUUAUUAGUGAAUAAUUGAGAGAAUUUUUGCAUCGAUGAUCAGUUGUAUGAACCACUUCCAGAGUUAAUUCCUUGGCGAGAGCUUGUUAAUUCUUGGUUUAAUUUAAUUUACUCUUGUUUAAUUACUUUUAUUUUCAUUAAGUGUUUUAUUCUAAUUUUAAAUCUCCCAAAACCCCCCCUUAAUUGACUAUGUUUGAAAAGAAACAAGUUUCCUCCAAUUCUUGUGGAGACGACCCUACUUGCCAUUGUACUCGUUUAUAUCUUUUAGAGUAGGAAUUUAUUAUCGCACAGGUGCGACACCUGUCCGACAGCCUAUCACAUCCUACUGCCAGGGGUGCUUGGUGUGAUUUUGAAAACAUAGGGGGUGCUAGGCUGAUUAGAAGAAACCUUAGAGGAGGUUCUGAUAUUAAUCCUGUAGACACCAAAAUUUUACCAAUUCAUUUUAUUUUUAUUGUUAUCUUUAAUUUUUUUAAAGUUGUUUAAAUGAAAUCAUUUUUACUUGAUUGGUUUUCUUUUGUAUGAAAGUGAAGAAAGGAAAAGAAAAAAAAAUGGAAGUGAAAAAAAAAAUCAGAUUUUUGCAUAAAAAAAAUUUUGAAGCUUCGUGUGUGUGUGUGACGCACACGCGUAGUUUCCUUCUUCUCCAGAAUUGCAGCAAAGGCAAACUAGUACGACAACUGGAUUUUGGAGCAUUUUGGAUUCAAAUUUUCUUUCUUUUCUUUUUCCCCAAACAUAUCAGUACAAGAGGCCACCUCAUCCUACUAAGAACCAUCAAGAAUCUUCUGGAAAAGUGGCAAUCGAAUGGUCCAAAAAAUAAGCAGCAAAAAUGGUUUCAUCUCAACCCUUGAGAGGAGGGUUUUGAGAAGUUUGAUCUCAUUUAAAUAGCAAAGGACGUAGCUUUAGGGUAAAGGGGAGGAGAGGAAAGUCAGCUGCACAAAAAUCUGGGGUAGGAAAGAAAGAAAAGAAUGAAAAAGAAAGGCAAACAAAAAAAAAAAUUUUGUAGAAAAUUUUCCAAAAGAACAGUCUGGUCGACUAGCUAUCUUGGAGCUUGAUUUACUCCUUCGAUACAGCUCCAUUGGGGGAGAUUGUUUCUGGGUAAUCUAGGGAGUCAGUACAGAAGGUUUUGUUUAGAAAAUUUUCUAGAAAAAUGUUCGAAAACCCUUCGGAUAGAGCCCUCAAGUUGCUGCUCUGCUAUCACCGGUGUCUUCUGCAAUUUCACUUGAAGAUUCAACAAAUCUUCUUUUCUCGCGUUUUUCCUGUUCUAAUCUGAUCCGAAAUCAUCCUCAGAUAUUCACGUGAAUUUUCCUUACCCCAUUCGACGUUCGUGCAAGAGAUUUGAGUAUGUUUAUAAGAGCUUAUGUUCAAAAAGGUUGGAUCUAUAUUUUUUUAAGAUUAUUUAUAAGAGUUUUUGGACCUUGUUUGAGGUUUAUUUGAGUCCAUAAUGUCAUGAGUUUCGUGGAUAUAUAAAAAUCCGGGUUUAAAAGUAAAAAAAAAAGGACUUCCAGUGAGUUUUCGGCCAUUUUGAUCAGAAUUUUUCCAAUUUCCGACAGGUCAACGCGCCAGAAGUUUUUUUUAAAUUUCUUUUCUUUUAUUUUUGCUCCGAUUUUUCUUGUUUUGUUUUAUUAGGUUUGAUCCGAUUUAGGUAGUAAAUGGCUAAUGAAAUGUGUUUUUGGGCUGAAAAAAAUUGGGCCAAAACUUGAUUUUUAGUUGGAUUCAUGUAUGGGCUUUGUAGCUUAGGCCCAAAGUUUUGUGAUGGAUUUGAUUUAAUAAAUGUUAAUGGAUUGAUUGAUGGGCCAAGAUGUUUGGGCCCAAGUUAAACCAACUAAGGAAAAUGGCAAUGAUUUUGCAAUUUAGUCAUUGAUUUUUGAGUAAUUUCACUAUGGCUCUAAAAUUUUGGAGUUCUUUCAUUUAGGUCUUUAAUUUGCACUUUGGUAUCUGAACUUUAUCUUUUAUUGAAUUUUGAUCCCUAAUUUUUUCAAUAAUUAUAAUGUGACCCCAAAAUCCUUUUAAUUUUUUCAAUUUUGUCCCUAAUCUUCAUUAUUUCUUAACUACAAUAGUUUAUCUCAUUUAAUUGUUAAUCAUGCUUCAUUUAACUGCAUUUAACUAGCAAAUUUUAGGAAUUUUAUGUUUAUUCAUAUUUCUUUAUAAUAAUAAAGUGAAUUUGCUAUAUGUUUACAUUUUUAAAAAUUAUUAGUUAAAUUAUUGCCUAGACUAUUUUGUUGGUUUUGAAGUAUAAAUAGGGCAAGUUCUAUCUUAUUUAACCACUACUUCAAGGGAGGUACUUUUUAUUAUUUUAGUUCUUUUAUGUGCUCCUAUUUGUUUUUUAUAUAGGUAAUUGCAUGUUUUAAGUGCCUUUUCUUUUCUUUUAUCUUAUCUUAUUCAUUUUUAGCUUUCAUUUAUUUUAUUUAUUUAAAAUUUGAUGAUUAUUUGGGAGGCAUUUAAAGGCCAAAUUAUAAUAGAUAGGUGUCCAAGAAAUGUAUUCAGUGAAGCCAUGUAAUUAGUUAGAUAGAUUUUAUUUUCAUCGAAAUUGUAAUUAGUUAGAUAAAUGUAACAGAUAGAUUUAUUAUUUUCAAAAUUCCCCUUCUAGAUUGUAGUUAGGGUCUCCAAUGUAAUAGUUAAUAUUUAUUUACUUGCAUGCUUGUGUGCUUAUGUGUUUUAUUCGCUUUCUCUAGAAUUUUACAUCUAGAUAUUAUACCUAUGUGCUAUAUGCACUACAUACUCUAUAUGUUUUAUGUGUUUUAAUUAUGUUUCAUAUGCUUUAUUUAUUCAUAAUAAAUGCAUGACAUCGCCACACUAAUUCAAUGCUAGUUGUGGUCUUUCUCCAUGAUUUCU
RNAcentral lists this long non-coding RNA (22453 nucleotides) under Coffea arabica (coffee). RNAcentral describes it as "long non-coding RNA (CARA_LNC006514)". Lineage: Eukaryota; Viridiplantae; Streptophyta; Magnoliopsida; Gentianales; Rubiaceae. The record is from RNAcentral.